This 221-nucleotide unclassified non-coding RNA is filed under the name plant metagenome. Its description in RNAcentral is "partial contains small subunit ribosomal RNA, internal transcribed spacer 1, and 5.8S ribosomal RNA". The record is from RNAcentral.
UUUCCGUAGGUGAACCUGCGGAAGGAUCAUUAGCAGAGGAGAGGAUUUGGGGCCAGAGGAAUCUGGUCACAUUUGCGGGGGGAUUGUUUUGUUGUGUCGUGUCGUGUGACAUGUGUGACAUGUGUGACACGUGUGACAUUACACUGUUACACUAUGUUACAAUAUUACACUUGAGCUCUCAACAAUGGAUCUCUGGGCUCUUGCAUCGAUGAGAACGCAGC